This 336-nucleotide ribosomal RNA is filed under the name Triticum aestivum (bread wheat). Its description in RNAcentral is "partial small subunit ribosomal RNA". The record is from RNAcentral. Lineage: Eukaryota; Viridiplantae; Streptophyta; Magnoliopsida; Poales; Poaceae.
AUGACGCCCCCAGAGGUCGAGGGGGGUGCGGCGGAACCGGAGGUUCAGGCCGAGCAGAUCAGCCGGGGCUGUGGAGCCGGAGAAGCAACGCCACCGUAUCCCUCCACUUUCCUAAGGGGACGCCGUCAGAGCUCUUGGGAGGGGACAUACAGAGACAAAUUGGUUGGUGAAGAAGAGGUGUCUGGCAGUGAAAUAAAGGGUUCUCCAAAUAGGACCUCUCAGCGGGAUUCAAAACGGGCUGCUAAGCGGCAACCAUGUGGCACUGAUAAUGACGGGGAUGGAAAGGCUGAUGACGUGUCUGAAAGUGCUAGUGAUCGACUAGAGGGGGGUGAAUAG